CGCCCGGGUGGCGCUGAAAUACUGCGACUUAAAAAGCUGAAGUCUCUGGAGGUGGAAGCUGCUAAAUGUUCAAAAUUGUCACCUAUCUGGUGCUGGGGUUACCACCCCAACAAGUGCUGCUGCGCCGGGAGACGAGCGAGUGGAGGCAUAUAUGGUAAGUAACGUUAGCCAGGGGCUAGCUAGGCUACAUUUUGAGUCUUGUCCAAAACAAAGUCGAAACGUUUUUACAUUGAAUGUGAUGUGACCUAAUUAACUGCAUACUUGUGACAACAUAUUAGCCCAGAGUUGAAGGGCUGUGACUGUUGGUAGUUUUGGUAGAUUUUGUUUAAAGAUGCCGAAUUGUGAUAUUAUGGGUUAUUAUUGUUCAGAUGAUUUAGCUAAGCUAGCUAACAGCUGCUAGUAAGCAGUCUCUUGUUGCCAUAGCAACAGUAAACAUUGACAUGGAGUAAUGAGCUGUAAAUAGAGAUGUAGAAUCAAGCUGUAUUGUAAAUACAGAUGAGAUACUUUGAAUUUUAGCACAAAAUACAAGUAAACCUGUAGGAAAUAAUUAGUUUAAUUUGCAAUAUUUGCCAUCGAAUUUAUUGUAAUCUUUCAAUUAAUUUAUUAUUUACUGAGGUGAUAACAAUUGUGUAGGUAGGGCCUAUAAUUAGUGUGUAACUUUAAUUUCUGUGUAAAUGUGUUACUUUUACUGUAGAUUUCAAAUGGCUGUGUAUAGUGCUGUCAUGAGCAUUUUCAGGUAUUGUCACCAUGAUCUGACCUUUUUGGAUUGGAAAACACUAGUGUCAUAAUCAAAGCAUGACAAAGCCAUUAGUGUUGUUACGCUCGUGAACGUUUAGUUCAAUAUGAACUCAUAUUUUAUCUUGUACAUUAUUCUUUGGUUUUGAGUUAUUUCCCCAUCAAAUGAUAAAUGCUUUCCCUAUGUCCAGCCCAGGCAGGUUCAGGGCAAGGCCAGCAGUUCAGGGAGAGAGCCAGACCAAUGCAGGCAGCCCAAAGACUGCACCACCUGAGAGGGAAAAGGCUGUAGAGAGUGAAGAGUGUGUCAGCCUUCACUGCACCAAAGUUUGGCUGUUGAGUCACCUCUAUUAUGGUUGACCACUCGAUAUGUGAGAGCCUGAGGAGUUGUUCCCCCUCCGUCCAUUUUCAAGGACUUGCUCUCUUACUGCCUCCACUUCAGCACUUUUUGUUUAUUUUGCAACUUGUUUUGUAAAAUAAAAGGUUUGAUUAUGAUUAUUUCCUGGUUCAAGAUUUUCAUAUUGAUGAUUUUAAUUUCAAACAUCUGCAUAUCUUUUAAGUUCUGCAGAUAAGCCUUAGGGCUUUUUUGAGACUUAAGUCAUCCUUCAUGACAGAUAAAUUUGUUCACUAAGUGUCACUACAUCACAAAAAGGCUACAUGGCUGCAUAUACUUGUCAGUACACAGAUACUGAGUACAAGCUCUGUUCGCUGUUGCUCUUGCAGGUCAUGAAUUUGGUGAGGAGUGUAGCUUGCUGGUUGCGGACGAGGAAGUAGGGCAAUAUAUACAUAUGCACAUGCACGUAUAUGAUAAUGCAUAUCUAUUCAGACCUGUAAUCAUGUCUUAGACUUAUUCACAGAGCUAUAGAUUUAUUUUAUUUAUUUUAUUC
This 1619-nucleotide long non-coding RNA is filed under the name Gadus morhua (Atlantic cod). RNAcentral describes it as "lncRNA (ENSGMOG00000030853.1)". The record is from RNAcentral. Lineage: Eukaryota; Metazoa; Chordata; Actinopteri; Gadiformes; Gadidae.